RNAcentral lists this ribosomal RNA (301 nucleotides) under uncultured bacterium. Its description in RNAcentral is "partial 16S ribosomal RNA". It matches the Rfam family "Bacterial small subunit ribosomal RNA", at positions 509 to 807 of the family's 1533-position model. The record is from RNAcentral.
CAGCAGCCACGGGAAAACAGAGGGUGCAAGCGUUAAUCGGAAUUACUGGGCGUAAAGCGCGCGUAGGUGGUUUGUUAAGUUGGAUGUGAAAUCCCCGGGCUCAACCUGGGAACUGCAUCCAAAACUGGCAAGCUAGAGUAUGGUAGAGGGUGGUGGAAUUUCCUGUGUAGCGGUGAAAUGCGUAGAUAUAGGAAGGAACACCAGUGGCGAAGGCGACCACCUGGACUGAUACUGACACUGAGGUGCGAAAGCGUGGGGAGCAAACAGGAUUAGAUACCCCCGUAGUCCCUGUCUCUUAUAC